Bombina bombina (fire-bellied toad) is the source of this 649-nucleotide long non-coding RNA. RefSeq lists it as uncharacterized. The record is from RefSeq and is a predicted model, not a curated record. The transcript is spliced from 2 exons. NCBI's taxonomy places the organism in Eukaryota, Metazoa, Chordata, Amphibia, Anura, Bombinatoridae.
CAGCUGUCUCAAACAGACCGUGAACAGCUGACACCAAAGUGAAUGGAGGAAAUAUACAGCAUGUAUGUCCAACAACAACAAAAACAUCUGCAUAAAAAAGAAACAUGCGCCCUGAGAAACCACCAUGGAAAAAAGUCUCUUAAAGCUGAAUUAGAUCUAUCCUCUAAGAGAUCCGAAUGGCCCUCUUGAAUCAAAGCAGAAUGUAUACUACUUUGAAGGACUGUACUCUGAGAAAUUUGAGAUAAAUACCUAGAUCCCAUUCCUUGACUGGAACUAUCACUCCCAGAGAGGAAUGUCCUGAACCCAGUUCAAGAAAGCCUCUCAUCAUACCUGGACUGCAGAUACUCUAGAAAGGAGAAAUCUACCCCUGGGAGGAAAUCUUAGAUUGCUACUCCCUGGACCAAGACUGGUUGGGAUUCCCAAAGACUGGACUUUCCCUGCAGAAAGAGGCAAAGGAAGACUUCCUCUAUUCUAUCCCACUUGACGUGUGGUUGAAAAUACCUUUUUCUACCCGUAAAGUCAGAGGUUAAUUCUGCCAGACCGGGUCCAAAAAGGUCUCACAUCCCAACAAGGUCUCACCCUUGUAAGGAAGAGCCAGAAGCUUGGACUGGGAGGAAACAUUAAAUAUAAGCCAUAUAUGGCCACGGUU